AUACGUAGGGGGCGAGCGUUGUCCGGAAUGAUUGGGCGUAAAGGGCGCGUAGGCGGCGCGGUAAGUCUGGAGUGAAAGUCCUGCUUUCAAGGUGGGAAUUGCUUUGGAUACUGCCGCGCUUGAGUGCAGGAGAGGUUAUCGGAAUUCCCGGUGUAGCGGUGAAAUGCGUAGAGAUCGGGAGGAACACCAGUGGCGAAGGCGGGUAACUGGACUGCAACUGACGCUGAGGCGCGAAAGUGUGGGGAGCAAACAGGAUUAGAUACCCUGGUAGUCCACACUGUAAACGAUGAAUGCUAGGUGUAAGAGGUAUCGACCCCUUCUGUGCCGCAGUCAACACAAUAAGCAUUCCGCCUGGGGAGUACGGCCGCAAGGUUGAAACUCAAAGGAAUUGACGGGG
This 397-nucleotide ribosomal RNA is filed under the name uncultured bacterium. Its description in RNAcentral is "partial 16S ribosomal RNA". It matches the Rfam family "Bacterial small subunit ribosomal RNA", at positions 523 to 918 of the family's 1533-position model. The record is from RNAcentral.